AGUGGAGAAGAUGACGCCAGCGAA
RNAcentral lists this non-coding RNA (24 nucleotides) under Arabidopsis thaliana (thale cress). Lineage: Eukaryota; Viridiplantae; Streptophyta; Magnoliopsida; Brassicales; Brassicaceae. The record is from RNAcentral.